Molecule: ribosomal RNA, 253 nt
Filed under: uncultured bacterium
Lineage: Bacteria
Description: partial 16S ribosomal RNA
Rfam family: Bacterial small subunit ribosomal RNA
Source: RNAcentral
UACGUAGGGGGCAAGCGUUGUUCGGAAUUACUGGGCGUAAAGGGCGCGUAGGCGGCAUGGCAAGUCAGGAGUGAAAGGCCUGGGCUCAACCGAGGAACUGCUUUUGAUACUGCCAAGCUAGAGUGCGGAAGGGGCAACUGGAAUUCCCAGUGUAGCGGUGAAAUGCGUAGAUAUUGGGAAGAACACCUGAGGCGAAGGCGGGUUGCUGGGGCGACACUGACGCUGAGGCGCGAAAGCCAGGGGAGCAAACGGG